RNAcentral lists this transfer RNA (73 nucleotides) under Paramuricea clavata. RNAcentral's name for it is "tRNA-Ser". It matches the Rfam family "tRNA". Rfam says of the family: Transfer RNA (tRNA) molecules are approximately 80 nucleotides in length. Their secondary structure includes four short double-helical elements and three loops (D, anti-codon, and T loops). Lineage: Eukaryota; Metazoa; Cnidaria; Anthozoa; Malacalcyonacea; Plexauridae. The record is from RNAcentral.
GGCUCUGUAGCUCAGUUGGUUAGAGCGCUGCACCGGAAUCGCAGGGCCGUAGGUUCAAUUCCUACCAGAGGAC